This is a long non-coding RNA of Morus notabilis, 802 nucleotides long. RefSeq lists it as uncharacterized. The transcript is spliced from 3 exons. Lineage: Eukaryota; Viridiplantae; Streptophyta; Magnoliopsida; Rosales; Moraceae. The record is from RefSeq and is a predicted model, not a curated record.
GUGAUUGGUUCCAUAGAAGACUCUUUUCGUUUGUGAAAACGUAAACUUGAUUCGAAUCACAAAACUUGAACGCGUCAAACAAACGCUUAAUGAAAUACAAUUCAUUGAUUUCUCUCUCAGUUCUUGAAGUUCUCAUCUUUCUUGUUCCUUUACGAUCAGCAAGCAACAACUUUUUACAUUGCGUUUCUCCCUCGAAAAGCAAAAAGCGAAGCCCUGCCCAUCGAAAACGACGUACUUUCUGAAAGUUGCCGAUUCACUCGUCCUCAAGUAAUAGUGACGAUGGAGAAAUUGCCAGAAGAUGUGUUAAUGGAAAUCAUGCUGUGGGUGCGUCCGCAAUGUUUGAUCCGAUGCAAGCUUGUGAAAAUGACGAUGGUGAGAACAAUGACAACUUUCACUGUGUUACCGAGGAUUUCCUUUUACCACGGUCGCUGGAUGACGUGAACUUGCAAUGUACGCGGCACCUUCAUUGUGACAGCCUCAUCUGCUGUUUUACGUAUGAUUAUAGAGACACUAAUAGCAACUCCUUUCUUAUGCAAUCCAACGAUCAAGGAAGUCAGAUCUCUUCCAAAACUGAUGUUUUGUGAUCACUUUGUAUCAGAAGGAGCAGGAUUGUCACGUGAUUGUAGAAGUGACGAUUACAAGUUUGUUGUCUUCGGGUAUGAUUCGAAGUCUUAUGAUUCCAAAGCGGAGAUUUACAGUUUACACAAUGAUUGUUGGAGGGAGAUUAGUUUUCAUUGGGGAGGCACGAUUGAUUAUGAAAUACGGAGCUUUUGGCUUGUUAAUUCACAGAUAUUUUCCGGAG